RNAcentral lists this long non-coding RNA (1131 nucleotides) under Piliocolobus tephrosceles (Ugandan red Colobus). Its description in RNAcentral is "lncRNA (ENSPTEG00000019051.1)". Lineage: Eukaryota; Metazoa; Chordata; Mammalia; Primates; Cercopithecidae. The record is from RNAcentral.
GUAAUAAUUUUAAAAUUAAUAAUAUAGCUGAUCCAAGUUUUGAUCAUUUUGGUCAUUUUUGUUAUAGCUUAAGUGAUAGUUUAGGUGAUAGUUUAGAUGAUAGUUUAGGUGAUGGUUUAGGUGAUAGUUUAGGUGAUAGAAAUAUCAAGGUUUCCAAUCAAAGAUGUAAAAGAACAAGUAACCCUUUUUUCGAUUAUUUUUCUGGAAGCGCUUCGAACCAUGCUUCUAUCAGAAUACAUAUCGUUGAUGAACUAAUUACGAGAUAUUCAAAUGUAUCUAAGUUAGGUGGUACAUAUUUGGAUGCACCAAAAAGUGCAUCUAAAGUUAUAAAUAAUAGUGUCCUAUAUACAGAUUUAACUAAAAAAAUAACCAAUAUUAAUAAUAUCAAAAAAAUUAACGACAUAUUAUUAAAAAUACCUACAAAUAAUAUAAGAGAAAAGUUUUUAAUAAAGUUUUUGCAAAUUAUAACUGCUGUUACUGGUGCUACUGAUAGUAGUCGUAACAUGGGGUAUACCGAACAAACAGAUGGUGAUAAAUCAUAUCGUGUAAAUAUAGUAAAUGCAUUGGAAUAUAAAAUAAUAUAUUUAAUGUUAUGGCUUAAUCAAGUGAUCCGUUUAAUACAUGUGAAAAUGAUUAAUAAAGAUAUGUGCAAAAAACUAUGUAGUAGUAUGUGUAGUGGUAUAUGUAGUGGUAUGUGUAGUGGUAUAUGUAGUAGUAUGUGUAGUGGUAUAUGUAGUGGUAUGUGUAGUGGUAUAUGUAGUAGUAUGUGUAGUGGUAUAUGUAGUGGUAUAUGUAGUGGUAUAUGUAGUGGUAUGUGUAGUGGUAUAUGUAGUGGUAUAUGUAGUGGUAUAUGUAGUGGUAUGUGUAGUGGUAUGUGUAGUGGUAUAUGUAGUAGUAUGUGUAGUGGUAUAUGUAGUAGUAUGUGUAGUGGUAUGUGUAGUGGUAUGUGUAGUGGUAUAUGUAGUGGUAUGUAUAGUGGUAUAUGCAAAAACGAUUUAAAACGAAGUGGUAUUAAAAAACUAAUAAAGCAACUUAACCGAACAAGUGAUUCCUACAUUAAAAAGAAUACAAAAAAUUGGUGAUACAACCAAAACAAAUAAACAAAAACUCGGAUCAAUAAUAGAUAUAAUA